GGCACUCAGGACUACACUCUGCACCUUAGCGGUUAUUUGUCAAAUUUUACAUUUUUUCUUCAUCUGUCAUCUACAUCAACAACACUACUCAAACCAACACGCUCCUUUAGCUCGCCACCCUCCCCUAGAGCCGCACACUGCAAAGUCCGGGCAGAGACGAGGCAGAGACGUGUCAGAGGCAGCGAUGCGGCACUACGCGAAGCAGAGUGUGAAUGAGAGAAUGUAAAGAGAACAACAAAAGCUGCGGGACAGGG
Molecule: long non-coding RNA, 254 nt
Filed under: Drosophila guanche
Lineage: Eukaryota; Metazoa; Arthropoda; Insecta; Diptera; Drosophilidae
Source: RNAcentral